CUUUUACUGUGCCAUGGCAGGCAGUCUCGGCUUGGGCCCUCAUGGCCACACAGACCUUCUACUCCACAGGCCACCAGCCUGUCUUUCCAGCCAUCCAUUGGCAUGCAGCCUUCGUGGGAUUCCCAGAGGGUCAUGGCUCCCGUACUUGGCUGCCUGCUUUGCUAGUGGGAGCCAACACCUUUGCCUCCCACCUCCUCUUUGCAGAUUCUGGCCUGUGCCUUGGCAGCCUCCAUCCUUCGCAGGCAUCUCAUGGUCUGGAAAGUGUUUGCCCCUAAGUUCAUUUUUGAGGCGGUGGGCUUCAUUGUGAGCAGCGUGGGACUUCUCCUGGGCAUAGCUUUGGUGAUGAGAGUGGAUGGUGCUGUGAGCUCCUGGUUCAGGCAGCUAUUUCUGGCCCAGCAGAGGUAGCCUAGGCUGUGAUUACUGGCACUUGGCUACAGAGAGUGCUGGAGAACAGUGUAGCCUGGCCGUACAGGUACUGGAUGAUCUGCAAGACAGGCUCAGCCCUACCUCUUACUACCAUGCAGCCAGGGGCCGCUGGCUUCCAGGACUUCAUCAUUCUAUAAUUCAGGACCACAGUGCAGUAGGAUCCCUAACUCCUGAGUUGGAUGCAUCUGAGGGACAAGGAGGGUGGUCUCCGAAGUGGAAUAAAAUAGGCCGGGCGUGGUGGCUUGCACCUAUAAUCCCAGCACUUUGGGAGGCAGAGGCGGGAGGAUUGCUUGGUCCCGGGAGUUCAAGACCAGCCUGUGGAACGUAACAAGACCC
RNAcentral lists this small RNA (762 nucleotides) under Pongo abelii (Sumatran orangutan). RNAcentral describes it as "processed transcript". The record is from RNAcentral. Lineage: Eukaryota; Metazoa; Chordata; Mammalia; Primates; Hominidae.